UCCCUGGAGGACGAGUGGUUAGGCCACGGCACGCUCACCGCCAUAGCCUGGGUUCGAUUCCCGGCCAGGGAA
RNAcentral lists this transfer RNA (72 nucleotides) under Pangasianodon gigas (Mekong giant catfish). RNAcentral's name for it is "tRNA-Glu". Lineage: Eukaryota; Metazoa; Chordata; Actinopteri; Siluriformes; Pangasiidae. The record is from RNAcentral.